Molecule: long non-coding RNA, 2103 nt
Organism: Oncorhynchus keta (chum salmon)
Lineage: Eukaryota; Metazoa; Chordata; Actinopteri; Salmoniformes; Salmonidae
Exons: 3
Source: RefSeq, a predicted model, not a curated record
AAGGAGGGGUGUGAGACGGUCACAGCUAAGGAGAGAGUGUUAGAAAGGAGGGGUGUGAGACGGUCACAGCUAAGGAGAGAGUGUUAGAAAGGAGGAGUGUGAGACGGUCACAGCUAAGGAGAGAGUGUUAGAAAGGAGGGGUGUGAGACGGUCACAGCUAAGGAGAGAGUGUUAGAAAGGAGGGGUGUGAGACGGUCACAGCUAAGGAGGAGGGUUAGAAAGGAGGGGUGUGAGACGGUCACAGCUAAGGAGAGAGUGUUAGAAAGGAGGGGUGUGAGACGGUCACAGCUAAGGAGAGAGUGUUAGAAAGGAGGGGUGUGAGACGGUCACAGCAAAGGAGAGAGUGUUAGAAAGGAGGGGUGUGAGACGGUCACAGCUAAGGAGGAGGGUUAGAAAGGAGGGGUGUGAGACGGUCACAGCUAAGGAGAGAGUGUUAGAAAGGAGGAGUGUGAGACGGUCACAGCUAAGGAGAGAGUGUUAGAAAGGAGGAGUGUGAGACGGUCACAGCUAAGGAGAGAGUGUUAGAAAGGAGGGGUGUGAGACGGUCACAGCUAAGGAGAGAGGGUUAGAAAGGAGGAGUGUGAAACGGUCACAGCUAAGGAGGAGGGUUAGAAAGGAGGGGUGUGAGACGGUCACAGCUAAGGAGGAGGGUUAGAAAGGAGGGGUGUGAGACGGUCACAGCUAAGGAGAGAGUGUUAGAAAGGAGGAGUGUGAGACGGUCACAGCUAAGGAGAGAGUGUUAGAAAGGAGGGGUGUGAGACGGUCACAGCUAAGGAGAGAGUGUUAGAAAGGAGGAGUGUGAGACGGUCACAGCUAAGGAGAGAGUGUUAGAAAGGAGGGGUGUGAGACGGUCACAGCUAAGGAGGAGGGUUAGAAAGGAGGGGUGUGAGACGGUCACAGCUAAGGAGAGAGUGUUAGAAAGGAGGAGUGUGAGACGGUCACAGCUAAGGAGAGAGUGUUAGAAAGGAGGGGUGUGAGACGGUCACAGCUAAGGAGAGAGUGUUAGAAAGGAGGAGUGUGAAACGGUCACAGCUAAGGAGAGAGUGUUAGAAAGGAGGGGUGUGAGACGGUCACAGCUAAGGAGGAGGGUUAGAAAGGAGGGGUGUGAGACGGUCACAGCUAAGGAGGAGGGUUAGAAAGGAGGAGUGUGAGAAGGUCACAGCUAAGGAGAGAGGGUUAGAAAGGAGGAGUGUGAGACGGUCACAGCUAAGGAGGAGGGUUAGAAAGGAGGGGUGUGAGACGGUCACAGCUAAGGAGGAGGGUUAGAAAGGAGCCUGAAGAAGUAUGGAAAGAGGGGCCCAACAUAAUGGGAAAGAUUGGGGGUAAAUAAUGCUAGAAAAUGGUGAGAGAGGUGGAAAAACAGCCCUGAUAUUGUGUGAAUGAGUGUGAGGCGACAUUAGAGGUUAUUCAAACUAUGAACAGGGUGAAAGACAAUGUGCUGGUGUGAAUUAGCGGGUUGAAAUCAAGGAACUCUUAACCUCCCUCUCUCUCCUUCUUUCCAUGACUCUUUGUCCCUUUCUUUGUUUCUCCCCCUCACUCUGUUUCACUUUCCCUUGUCCCUUCCUUUAUCUUUCAUUUAUAUGCCUUAUUUCUCCCUCUCUCCUUCCCUUCUCUCUCCCUCCUGUUAGUUGUUUCACCAGUCCAGAGAUUCUAGUUAGUUAUCGGCAGCGUAGCCUAGUGGUUAGAGCGUUGGACUAGUAACCGGAAGGUUGCGAGUUCAAACCCCCGAGCUGACAAGGUACAAAUCUGUCGUUCUGCCCCUGAACAGGCAGUUAACCCACUGUUCCUAGGCCGUCAUUGAAAAUAAGAAUAUGUUCUUAACUGACUUGCCUGGUUAAAUAAAGGUAAAAAAAAAAAUCCAUACCAUCAUGCUUUACCUUCUCCUCCAGCGACAUGUCUACUUACUUUCCCACUGCUCUGGGUGACUGGCCUGGCUGGCUGCUCCCAUCACUGACAUCCUGUCCCCCCCCCAGUCCUAAACCUGUUUCCUCCCCUGUCCCUAAGCCUAUCCGCUCUGCCCCUCACCAGAACACCAGACCCCAUACACACUCAAAAGAGGAAGUGCUCUUAAUCUCACAGCUGUCUAAGCCAAACAGAUCGCUC